ACUUUCAACAACGGAUCUCUUGUUCUGGCAUCGAUGAAGAACGCAGCGAAAUGCGAUAAGUAAUGUGAAUUGCAGAAUUCAGUGAAUCAUCGAAUCUUUGAACGCACAUUGCGCCCCUUGGUAUUCCGAGGGGCAUGCCUGUUCGAGCGUCAUUUC
This 156-nucleotide ribosomal RNA is filed under the name Mycosphaerella coffeicola. RNAcentral's name for it is "5.8S ribosomal RNA". It matches the Rfam family "5.8S ribosomal RNA". Rfam says of the family: 5.8S ribosomal RNA (5.8S rRNA) is a component of the large subunit of the eukaryotic ribosome. It is transcribed by RNA polymerase I as part of the 45S precursor that also contains 18S and 28S rRNA. Lineage: Eukaryota; Fungi; Ascomycota; Dothideomycetes; Mycosphaerellales; Mycosphaerellaceae. The record is from RNAcentral.